This 474-nucleotide long non-coding RNA is filed under the name Brassica napus (rape). RNAcentral's name for it is "long non-coding RNA (BNAP_LNC000246)". Lineage: Eukaryota; Viridiplantae; Streptophyta; Magnoliopsida; Brassicales; Brassicaceae. The record is from RNAcentral.
GACAAAUCAAAAUUUGAGAAAUAUGGUACAUGUUCUUUAGAUUACAACUACAUUUCCCGUUUCUAUUAUAUAUGUCUCGUGUAGAAUGGAAAUGCAUCUUAUUAACAUUUAUGUUCUAUAUUGUCCAGUUUAAUAUCACAUAAAAUAGCUUUUAAAUUCAUAAUAGUAUUUACUAUUUUCAAAUUUUGAAUUUAGGUUAGGGUUUAUAUUUCCGUGUUGGAACUAGUGAUUUGUGGCUAUAGUUUAGUUUGUAGAAGAUUGGGGUUGACAUCGAAAAAGCAUUAAGUAGUUCCAUUACGUAUAGGUUGGCAUGUCUUUCAUGAUCUAUACUAUUUUGUUAUAUAGAAUAACAAUGCCUGUAACUUUUGAUAUUUCAAUACGUUAACAUAUAUUUUGUAACGUGUACUGCUAUAAUCCAAUCAUUUCAUUAAAUCAUAUGUUGUAAAUAGAAACUUUAUAAAUUGUUAAUGUGUC